RNAcentral lists this long non-coding RNA (213 nucleotides) under Rosa chinensis. RNAcentral's name for it is "sRNA RchiOBHm_Chr2g0122621". The record is from RNAcentral. Lineage: Eukaryota; Viridiplantae; Streptophyta; Magnoliopsida; Rosales; Rosaceae.
GAUUGCCAAAGGGAAGGUGGGUCUUCUUAGAUGGGCGAACAUGCCACCACCAUCCUUGCUUCGUGUUAUGAAGAAUGAUGGCCUCCCUUGUCCGCCGUCAAAUUCUUCUUAGUUCUAGGAGGAGAGUUCAAUCUGAUGUUUAACUAGUUUGUACUUUGGGCCCUGUUUUCUGGGGUUAUUUGGGCUUGCCCUUUUAAUGAAGUUCCUUCUUCC